CUUUGCCUGGUCUGGUUUUCACCUUCCUCUCCAACUCCAUCCCAUCCUCCUUUGCCUCUGAUUCCUCAAGCCCAGGGUCCACUGGCCUCCUUUGUUCUUUGGGACGCUCUGGGCUGUGGCUGGGAGUUUCCCGAAUGAGUAACAAUUCCUCGGAAAGCCUCAUAUCUUGUGGAGGCUGCUCCCUGUGGCCUGUCCACACCCUCCCAUGCCAUCUCCAAGAGACCAGGAAGAGACGGCACUCACGCCUUUUCAAUUUCACUUUGGAGCAAUCUGACUGCGGAGAUCAAGAUGGGUUUCGUGUCACUGGCUAUGACUCCAAGAGCAAACCUUAAGGAAAAAGUUGUAUUUUCAGGAAAUCCUCAGCCUUCCAGUCCAGAAAAACACACCGCCCCUCCUUGCCUGUGCAACAGGCUACUCUUGCAGAGCCCAGAAAACAAGGAACUCUCCAGGAAACGGCAAGAUGGCUCAAUGACAAAAGUUGAACAAACCGCAAGAGUCUGGAGAUUUGAGCUCAAUCCCCUGAAGCCAUGUAAAUGGAGGAGAAAACUGACUCUCCAGCAUUGUCCUGACCGCCAUACACGCACUGUGGCACAUGUAAUAAUAAUAAUAAGUCUAAAUAAAUGAAAUAGAACCUUAAACUCAAAUAUUGAAGAACAAUACAUUGACCUGUUUGCAAAACUUAAAA
This is a long non-coding RNA of Mesocricetus auratus (golden hamster), 685 nucleotides long. RefSeq lists it as uncharacterized. NCBI's taxonomy places the organism in Eukaryota, Metazoa, Chordata, Mammalia, Rodentia, Cricetidae. The transcript is spliced from 4 exons. The record is from RefSeq and is a predicted model, not a curated record.